ACACACACACACACACACACUACACGACGCCACCCGUGUGCGCAUGUUCCGCUCUUGGCUGCGGUUCUACAGGAGUUAAAUAUGAAAUCUUGACACGACGCUGUACAGAGACUCCGUUUUGCCAAAGUGCGACACUGAGCGCUCUGGAUAAUUAAAGGAAUAAAAAAAAAGAUAAGAAAAUAAUCAGCAAUGGAAAUCAGUCCAGGAGGAACCAGGAUGAAGUUUCUCCCUGAUCUGACUGGAAUCAUGACCUGGGUUCCCUCAGCUCUAAAGCACCAAGUCCACAGGAAGGAGAAUGCUAACUCCUAGUCAACUGUGUUUGUGUGGAAAGAAGGAGGAGAUGACACCACCUCCACCUCCACCACCUCCAUCACCAUCACUGAGGGGAAAGCUGAGCUCUUGCUGAGAUGGUGACCCCUGACCCUUCUUUAGAGAACUGACAGGAGUGCCCCUGAACUCUCACCCAGGAGACAAACUAGCAAUGAAGCGUGACCUGUUGUUGGGGCGUGGACUCUGCAUUUACACGGCUGGCAUUCUGGGCAUUCCACGCGUCGCUCCUGUCGUAUAGAGACCCUGAAAGCAUACUUACAGGAGAUCCUGAGCAUCUGUAGACCUUUACUCAGCGUACUCAGAGAGUAAAUCCACCUGUAUUUUAAACAGUUCUUUCUAAAAUUCAUAAUUUUGUAGUAAAAUCAGCAGAUAUGAAACUAUUUUCCCCUGUUAUUAUUAAAGACAUGACUUUCUGGACA
This is a long non-coding RNA of Silurus meridionalis, 749 nucleotides long. RefSeq lists it as uncharacterized. NCBI's taxonomy places the organism in Eukaryota, Metazoa, Chordata, Actinopteri, Siluriformes, Siluridae. The record is from RefSeq and is a predicted model, not a curated record. The transcript has 2 exons.